Molecule: long non-coding RNA, 1260 nt
Organism: Zea mays
Lineage: Eukaryota; Viridiplantae; Streptophyta; Magnoliopsida; Poales; Poaceae
Exons: 3
Source: RefSeq, a predicted model, not a curated record
GAAAACAAAAAAAUAAAAAAACAGGAAAACAAAAAAAAUUCAAAACCCAGGAAAACAAAAAAAUAAAAAAACAGGAAAACAAAAAAAUAAAAAAACAGGAAAUACAAAAAAAUAAAAAAACCAGGAAAACAAAAAAACAAGAAAACAACAAAAAAUUAAAAAACAGGAAAACAAAAAAAAUAAAAACCCAGGAAAACAAAAAAAAUAAAAACUCAGGAAAACAAAAAAACUAGGAAUGCAAAAAAGUAAAAAACCAGGAAAACAAAAAAAAAGGUAAAAACCCCAAACCUGAAGGAACAAUAUUGCCCUGUAACCACCCACGCGAAGAUGUAAGAGAUGCAUUCAUAUGCUUGACUGCAAAUUCGCUUGCGCAGUUUCCUGCUGGCAGUGUUGUUGGAAGUGCUUCCUUAUGGAGACAAUCUCAGAUUCUCUACAGAUAUCCAUCACUGAAAAUCUGGUGGAUACCUGACCGAAGAAGAGCUGGAUGUGUAGAUCACAGAGUACGGCUGGAUGUGCAAAUGUCAUGGCUGUUUGGAUUUCUUCUGACAGUUUGACAAAACUGCACAUCAUGCAAAGAGUCAGGAAAACAAAAAAAAUAAAAAAACCAGGAAAACAAAAAAACAGGGAAAAACCCAGGAAACCUGAAGGCACAAUAUUGACAUGUAACCACCCACGAGAAGAUGUAAGAGAUGCAUUCAGAUGCUUGACUGCAAAUUCGCUAGCGGAGCUUCCUGCUGGCAGUGGUGUUGGAAGUGCUUCCUUGCGGAGACAAUCUCAGAUUCUCUACAGAUAUCCAUCACUGAAAAUCUGGUGGACACCUGACCUGUAGAUCACAGAGUACGGCUGGAUGUGCAAAUGUCAUGGCUGUUUGGAUUUCUUCUGACAGCUCGACAAAACCUUACAUCAUGCAAAGAGUCAGGAAAAUAAAAAAUAAUAAAAAACCAGGAAAAAAAUAAGAGGCCCAUUGUCAGAUUUCAGUUGGCACCCUUUCGGUUGAAACCGAAGGGCCAAAGUAGUGUGUUGUUGGGUUUGUUUUUGUUUCUUCUUUUUUUCUCCUACUACUAGUUCCUGCUAGAGUCUUGUACUACCACUCAUGUUGAGCAGCCCCAUUCAGCUUUUGUUGUAUCUCAUGUUCUUUUAGCAAUCUGGGUUAGAGAGAGCCAAUAUCUGGACAGCUAUGUUGUGUCGAAGUUGGAUGUGACUCUGCAGAUAGUUGUUGUUUCAAGAAUAUUUGAGCGAUUAUUGAUUUUUGUGGCCUAA